Molecule: ribosomal RNA, 492 nt
Filed under: uncultured bacterium
Lineage: Bacteria
Description: partial 16S ribosomal RNA
Rfam family: Bacterial small subunit ribosomal RNA
Source: RNAcentral
AGUGAACGCUGGCGGUAGGCCUAACACAUGCAAGUCGAACGGCACCUCAGUAAUAGCUUGCUCUUACGGGAGGCGAGUGGCGGACCGUUGAGGAAUACACCGGAAUCUACUUUUUCGUUGGGGAUAACGUAGGGAAACUUACGCUAAUACCACAUACGACCUACGGGUGAAAGCAGGGGAUCUUCGGACCUUGCGCGAUUGAAUGUGCCGAUGUCGGAUUAGCUAGUUGGCGGGGUAAAGGCCCACCAAGGCGCCGAUCCGUAGCUCGUCUGAGAGGAUGGACAGGCAGACGGGAAGUGAGACACGGUCGAGACUCCUGCGGGAGGAAACGGUGGGGAAUAUUGGACGAGGGGCGCGAGGCUGAUCCAGCCAUACCGCGGGGGUGAAGAAGGCCUUCGGGUUGUAGAGCCAUUUUGUUGGGAAGGAAAAGCAGCAGGUCAAUACCCCGCUGUUCUGACGGUACCCAAAGAAUAAGCACCGGCUAACUUCGUG